This 329-nucleotide ribosomal RNA is filed under the name uncultured bacterium. RNAcentral's name for it is "bacterial SSU rRNA". It matches the Rfam family "Bacterial small subunit ribosomal RNA", at positions 467 to 793 of the family's 1533-position model. The record is from RNAcentral.
AUUUGACGUUACCUACACGAAGAAGCACCGGCUAACUCCGUGCCAGCAGCCGCGGUAAUACGGAGGGUGCGAGCGUUAAUCGGAAUUACUGGGCGUAAAGCGCAUGCAGGCGGCCUGUUAAGUCAGAUGUGAAAGCCCGGGGCUUAACCUCGGAAUUGCAUUUGAAACUGGCAGGCUAGAGUCUUGUAGAGGGGGGUAGGAAUUUCAGGUGUAGCGGUGAAAUGCGUAGAGAUCUGAAGGAAUACCAGUGGCGAAGGCGGCCCCCUGGACAAAGACUGACGCUCAGAUGCGAAAGCGUGGGGAGCAAACAGGAUUAGAUACCCUGGUAG